GGCUCGGUGGUGUAUGGUCCACGUCUGCUUCUUGUGGGGGAUUAUGUGUCCAAGAGCCAGCAGGAGACACCUGCUCGAACCAGGCUCGAGCCG
Non-coding RNA from Mycena latifolia, 93 nucleotides. NCBI's taxonomy places the organism in Eukaryota, Fungi, Basidiomycota, Agaricomycetes, Agaricales, Mycenaceae. The record is from the annotation of a GenBank genome assembly.